UACAGAGGUCUCAAGCGUUGUUCGGAUUCAUUUGGGCGUAAAGGGUGCGUAGGCGGCGCGGUAAGUCGGGUGUGAAAUCUUGGGAGCUUAACUCCGAAACUGCAUUCGAUACUGCCGUGCUUUGAGGACUGGAGAGGAGACUGGAAUUUACGGUGUAGCGGGUGAAAUGCGUAGAGUAAUCGUAAGGAAAGACCAGUGGC
Molecule: ribosomal RNA, 200 nt
Filed under: uncultured bacterium
Lineage: Bacteria
Description: partial 16S ribosomal RNA
Rfam family: Bacterial small subunit ribosomal RNA
Source: RNAcentral